CAUCGACAUUUCGAACGCACAUUGCGGUCCACGGAUACAAUUCCCGGACCACGCCUGGCUGAGGGUCGUU
This 70-nucleotide ribosomal RNA is filed under the name Diadegma semiclausum. Its description in RNAcentral is "partial 5.8S ribosomal RNA". The record is from RNAcentral. Lineage: Eukaryota; Metazoa; Arthropoda; Insecta; Hymenoptera; Ichneumonidae.